CCUCUCUCAUGCCCAAAGGAGUUGGGCUGGUCCAUCAAGUACACUCGAAGAGUCGGAUGUUGAUAGAUCUGCAAGAAGGAAAAAGAAGGUUGUGAUCAAGGGUUGAUUGAGAUUUUGUCAGAGAUCUGAUCGAAGGCUAAUCCAAGAGCUUGCUGAUUCAUUUUGGUGAAGGUGGAUCGAAGUCAGAGAAAGCAUCCUAGUUUGAGCCUAAGUAGAUAUC
RNAcentral lists this long non-coding RNA (220 nucleotides) under Elaeis guineensis (African oil palm). RNAcentral's name for it is "long non-coding RNA (EGUI_LNC068255)". Lineage: Eukaryota; Viridiplantae; Streptophyta; Magnoliopsida; Arecales; Arecaceae. The record is from RNAcentral.